Molecule: unclassified non-coding RNA, 761 nt
Filed under: Hevea brasiliensis (rubber tree)
Lineage: Eukaryota; Viridiplantae; Streptophyta; Magnoliopsida; Malpighiales; Euphorbiaceae
Source: RNAcentral
GGAACAUGUUCCCAAAUCUGGUUACAAAAGAGGAACUAGCUACAAAACCAGAAUUGGAUGGCUUCAGAAAGCAUGUGACAAGCUUGGCAGCCCUCGACUUCCUAGUCUGUUUGAAGUCUGAUGUAUUUGUGAUGACACACGGAGGGAACUUCGCCAAACUGAUAAUAGGACAUCGUAGGUACAUGGGUCAUCGUCUAAAAUCCAUUAAGCCGGACAAGGGUCUGAUGUCCAAAUCCCUAGGAGAUCCAUAUAUGGGGUGGGCUUCCUUUGUGGAAGACGUUGUCAUAACCCAUCAGACUAGAACUGGUUUACCUGAAGAAACGUUUCCAAAUUAUGAUCUUUGGGAGAAUCCUUUAACAAAUUGCAUGUGUAAAGCCUGAAUUGACAAAUCUUUAUUGUGAAGAUAAGCCCUUUAAGUUGGUGCAUCUUUCUAGAGUGCUGCACAGGGAAUCGCGAAACUAACAGAGCCAGAAUUACAAUGCAAUUUACACAUGGGGAUCCCAGAAUGGAUAGAAUGUUGUAGUCCCUGAAAAUUAUUAACAGAGGAGUUCAGCAAACUGGCUAUUAGGAGUGGGCUCUCUCUAUAGCUGCCGCCCUGUAUUGCCACAUCUGUGUUUAUGAUCUACUUACGUUGGGCGCGGACACCAAUACAGUUUUGUAUUCUGAUUUAUUCUCAAUUGUUUCAUGAUAUAAUGUAUAUUAUUUGCAGUAAUAGAAAAAGCUUCCUUCAUUUCAUUUGAACACAGAUCAUAUCUCAUGAG